RNAcentral lists this ribosomal RNA (473 nucleotides) under Pseudomonas sp. oral taxon C61. RNAcentral's name for it is "bacterial SSU rRNA". It matches the Rfam family "Bacterial small subunit ribosomal RNA", at positions 30 to 499 of the family's 1533-position model. Lineage: Bacteria; Pseudomonadati; Pseudomonadota; Gammaproteobacteria; Pseudomonadales; Pseudomonadaceae. The record is from RNAcentral.
AUUGAACGCUGCGGCAGGCCUAACACAUGCAAGUCGAGCGGUAGAGAGAAGCUUGCUUCUCUUGAGAGCGGCGGACGGGUGAGUAAUGCCUAGGAAUCUGCCUGGUAGUGGGGGAUAACGUUCGGAAACGGACGCUAAUACCGCAUACGUCCUACGGGAGAAAGCAGGGGACCUUCGGGCCUUGCGCUAUCAGAUGAGCCUAGGUCGGAUUAGCUAGUUGGUGGGGUAAUGGCUCACCAAGGCGACGAUCCGUAACUGGUCUGAGAGGAUGAUCAGUCACACUGGAACUGAGACACGGUCCAGACUCCUACGGGAGGCAGCAGUGGGGAAUAUUGGACAAUGGGCGAAAGCCUGAUCCAGCCAUGCCGCGUGUGUGAAGAAGUCUUCGGAUUGUAAAGCACUUUAAGUUGGGAGGAAGGGUUGUAGAUUAAUACUCUGCAAUUUUGACGUUACCGACAGAAAAGCACCGGUAA